GACGAACGCUGGCGGCGUGCUUAACACAUGCAAGUCGAGCGGUAAGGCCCUUUCGGGGGUACACGAGCGGGCGAACGGGUGAGUAACACGUGGGUGACCUGCCCUUAGCUCUGGGAUAAGCCUGGGAAACUGGGUCUAAUACCGGAUAUGACUCCAUGACGCAUGUUGUGGGGUGGAAAGCCUUGUGCGGCUAGGGAUGGGCCCGCGGCCUAUCAGCUUGUUGGUGGGGUGAUGGCCUACCAAGGCGACGACGGGUAGCCGGCCUGAGAGGGCGACCGGCCACACUGGGACUGAGACACGGCCCAGACUCCUACGGGAGGCAGCAGUGGGGAAUCUUGCGCAAUGGGCGAAAGCCUGACGCAGCGACGCCGCGUGAGGGAUGACGGCCU
This 389-nucleotide ribosomal RNA is filed under the name uncultured bacterium. RNAcentral's name for it is "bacterial SSU rRNA". It matches the Rfam family "Bacterial small subunit ribosomal RNA", at positions 28 to 417 of the family's 1533-position model. The record is from RNAcentral.